AUGUUCAGAUAGCCAUGCACGUCUAAGUACAAACUAAAUGAUGGUGAAACUGCAAAUGGCUCAUUACAACGGUUAUGAUGUACCCGGGAGUUCCGAUGGAUAUUUCCAGUAACACUAGAACUAAUACAUGUCCCUGCGUUUAUUAGUUUCGCACAGUCCGUCGCUGAGUCAUGGUAAACAGUUGAUCGACUCGACGUCCCGGAACAGUUUCCGCCCCAUCAGCUUCGAUGGUUGGGUAUUGGCCUACCAUUGCAACAACGGGUAACGAGGAAUUAGGGUUUGAUUUCGGAGAGGGAGCCUGAGAAACGGCUACCACAUCUACGGAUGGCAGCAGGCGCGCAAAUUACCCAAUGCAGACACUGUGAGGUAGUGACGAGAAAUAAUAAAGCGGGACUUCUGUUUCGCUAUUAUAAUGAGGAAUAAUCAAAGGUCAUUCCGAUUAGCAACUGAUGGGAAAGUCUGGUGCCAGCAGCCGCGGUAAUACCAGCGUCAGUAGCAUA
Molecule: ribosomal RNA, 500 nt
Filed under: uncultured Myrionecta
Lineage: Eukaryota; Ciliophora; Litostomatea; Cyclotrichida; Mesodiniidae
Description: SSU rRNA
Rfam family: Eukaryotic small subunit ribosomal RNA
Source: RNAcentral